This 111-nucleotide transfer RNA is filed under the name Xylaria arbuscula. RNAcentral's name for it is "tRNA-Leu". It matches the Rfam family "tRNA". Rfam says of the family: Transfer RNA (tRNA) molecules are approximately 80 nucleotides in length. Their secondary structure includes four short double-helical elements and three loops (D, anti-codon, and T loops). Lineage: Eukaryota; Fungi; Ascomycota; Sordariomycetes; Xylariales; Xylariaceae. The record is from RNAcentral.
GGGAGUUUGGCCGAGUGGUUAAGGCGCUGUGUUUAGGCAUUGGCUAUUAAACAGCUGAUACCAUAAAUCCCGCAGUGGGAAACCGCGCAGGUUCGAAUCCUGCAGCUCUCA